CACAGUUUAUACCGUAGCUUGCUACACCAUAGACUGUGAGUUGCGAACGGGUGAGUAACGCGUAGGUAACCUGCCUAUUAGAGGGGGAUAACUAUUGGAAACGAUAGCUAAUACCGCAUAACAGUAUGUAACACAUGUUAGAUGCUUGAAAGAUGCAAUUGCAUCGCUAGUAGAUGGACCUGCGUUGUAUUAGCUAGUAGGUAGGGUAAUGGCCUACCUAGGCGACGAUACAUAGCCGACCUGAGAGGGUGAUCGGCCACACUGGGACUGAGACACGGCCCAGACUCCUACGGGAGGCAGCAGUAGGGAAUCUUCGGCAAUGGGGGGAACCCUGACCGAGCAACGCCGCGUGAGUGAAGAAGGUUUUCGGAUCGUAAAGCUCUGUUGUUAAGGAAGAACGAGUGUGAGAAUGGAAAGUUCAUACUGUGACGGUACUUAACCAGAAAGGGACGGCUAACUACGUGCCAGCAGCCGCGGUAAUACGUAGGUCCCGAGCGUUGUCCGGAUUUAUUGGGCGUAAAGCGAGCGCAGGCGGUUAGAAAAGUCUGAAGUGAAAGGCAGUGGCUCAACCAUUGUAGGCUUUGGAAACUGUUUAACUUGAGUGCAGAAGGGGAGAGUGGAAUUCCAUGUGUAGCGGUGAAAUGCGUAGAUAUAUGGAGGAACACCGGUGGCGAAGCGGCUCUCUGGUCUGUAACUGACGCUG
RNAcentral lists this ribosomal RNA (703 nucleotides) under Streptococcus sp. HGFM107. RNAcentral describes it as "bacterial SSU rRNA". It matches the Rfam family "Bacterial small subunit ribosomal RNA", at positions 62 to 748 of the family's 1533-position model. The record is from RNAcentral. Lineage: Bacteria; Bacillati; Bacillota; Bacilli; Lactobacillales; Streptococcaceae.